Long non-coding RNA from Canis lupus familiaris (dog), 3772 nucleotides. RefSeq lists it as uncharacterized. Lineage: Eukaryota; Metazoa; Chordata; Mammalia; Carnivora; Canidae. The transcript has 2 exons. The record is from RefSeq and is a predicted model, not a curated record.
GUUUGGAAGACAUUCAUUCCAGGCCUCAUGGAUGACUUUGACGGGUUCAAGACUUCAGUGGAGGAAGUAACUGCAGAUGUGGUAAAAAUAGCAAAAGAAUUAGAACUAGAAGUAGAGCCUGAAGAUGUGACUGAAUUGCUUCAAUCUCAUGAUAAAACUGUAAUGGAUGAGGAGUUGCUUCCUAUGGAUGAGCAAAGGAAGUGGUUUCUUGAGAUGGAAUCUACUCCUGGUGAGGAUGAUGUAAAGAUUGUCGAAAUGACAACAAAGGAUUUAGAAUACUACAUAAGCUUAGUUGAUAAAGCAGCAGCGGGGUUUGAGAGGAUUGACUCCAAUUUUGAAAGAAGUUCCACUGUGGGUAAAAUGCUAUCAAACAGUAUCUCGUGCUACAGAGAAAUUGUUCGUGAAAGGAAGAGUCCAUCAAUGCGGCAGAUUUCAUUAUUGUCUUAUUUUAAGAAAUUGCCACAGUCCCCCCAACCUUCAGCAACCACCACCCUGAUCACUCAGCAACCAUCAACAUCACGGCAUGACCCUCCAUCAGCAAAAAAAUUACGGAUUGCUGAAAGCUCAGAUGAUGGUUAGCAUUUUUUAGCAAUAAAGUAUUUUUAAAUUAAGAUAUGUACAUUGUUUCUUUAGAUAUAAUGCUAUUGCACACUUAGUAGACUAUAGUGUAAACAUAAUUUUUAUAUGCACUGGGAAGCCACACAGUUCAUUUGACUCACAAUAUUUACUUUGUUGUAGUCUGGAACUGAACCCGCAAUAUCUCUGGGGUAUGCCUGUAUUUAUAUAGUGGUUACAGUAUUCACAAAGUUUUUUACGUCCUUUUGUGAAAAUGAACUUUCUUUUUAUUUUUAACUUAAUUCUAUUGCCUGUAUUUAUUUAUUUUUUAAUUUUUAAAACUUUUGUACAGAUGUUGUCAUGUGAUUGUGAGCUUAUGGUUCUUUUGGUGAUCUGGUCUCAUGCUGUUUUUCAUAUCCUAGGUCCCUAGCUUUCUGUUUUUGGGUUACAUGUCAUAAUUUUUUAUCUCCUUGGAUCUGUGGGAAUAUAUUUUAUGGUGAAGGAUCAUGCUUUGGGUGUGAUUUGUUCAAGUCUGUCUUCUAAUUUGGUAUUCUACUAGAGAAUGUAUUUUUCAAGAAAGAAGAGCUAUGGUUUUGUGAGAAAUUUUAAGUCCUUUGUUAGAAAGCCUAAAAUCAUUUGCAAUUUUAUCUCUGGCAAGAGGCUUUGAAUAGUUUUCUUUCUUUUUCUUUUUUUUUUUUUAAAUUAAGUCUCCAUAUUGGCAAGGCUGAACUCUGUACAUUAUAAAUUUGUUUAAAGAUACUACUUGAAUCAUUCAGAAUAAAGUGUAUUUAAAAUUAAUCACAGUAAUUGGGAUAGAAUUUAUUUAAUAGCUUUCGAAUAGCCUUUCAUGACUUAGAAAAUUUCAUUCGCCAUCUAGAUUUUAUUAAGAAAGUCUCGAGCCCUUCUUAAAUACACAUUAUAGAGAACAAGCGUAUUCCUAUGUGUAAGUUGGAAAGUGCACAUUGAGUACCUCCGUGUAUUUGAGAACGCAUAUUCCUUACGCUGUCAAGAUCGAAAAGUGGAACUGAUAAAUGCAACUGAUGUUUUGAGAUUGCUUAUACCCUGACAGGAUGCCAUCACAUGCACAGCUAUGAACUCUGCUUCUGUUGAGAAGUAACAAAUGUGGGUGACCUACCUACAGUGAACUCUUGGAAGCAGACCAAGGAGGCGGAAUCUUCUCAAGCAUGAGACUGAUAUAUAAUGUUGUCUUUAUGGUGCUCUUUAGUCUUCAGCCACUAGAUGUUGUGACAUGGAGCCUUGACUAGAACUUGUUCAUAGCAGAUAGUAUAUUAUUUGUCUCUGGUUUGUGUGCUUAGUUGUCAGUUAUCUGGUUAUGGUGCAAACACAUACCUUCUGUAUCAGCUACAGAAGUGCUUUGAACAUCAAUAUUGUUUUAUCUAAAUGAUAGUAGUUUGCUAUAUCUAACAUAGGUAAAUAAAUCAGUGAAUGUAAUUCAGUUUUUUAAGUUAGGGAUACUGUAUAAGGCAAUGGUGUAUCUCCUAUAUAUGUUACGCACAGCAUGUUUCUUGUGUGCCCCAUGGAUAUGUCACUGUGUCAGACCUAGUUAUUUAUAAAAAGAAAAUUGUUUAUAAUGAUCAUCUGUCUCCCAUAUUAAAAAGUCUUAAAAAUGCAUACCAAGUAUAGGUUUGUUUCGAGGAGAGGAAAAGUGUUUCAAGGACUUUUUGCCUCUAUUUUAAAAUGGAUUUUUUCUACCAUUUUUAGAGAGAGGAGGAAAUUAAAAUAUCAUUUGCUUUUAAACAUUUAAAAGAAAUAUACAGCCUUCCUAUCAAGCUGAAAAAGAUAAGUAGAACAAAGAUACUGGAACAUAUGAUAAAAAUUAUAUUUAUUUGAGGUUAAUGUUUUUUAAAUCUUUUGCUAACUUUGUGCUUUAAUAUACGUUAGUGAUCAUAUAUAAUUUGAAUGGAAAAUACAGGAACUAUUUAAAUUUUUGGAAAACUGAAGAAAUAUUUUUCUUGGUUCUGGGUAAAAUUUAGACCAUUAGACUAAGAGAAAGAUUUCAGGGAAAAUGGAGUACAAUAUUUAAAAUUGUUACUGCAGCUUUACUUCUGUAUCCCUUCUUCCCUUUGGACCCUGAUUGAAAUGUAUGGACAUAGAAUUAGAAAUUUUUUUUGCGUUUGACACAGGGAACCUGCUUUGAUUCUGGUGGAUAAUUUCAGUGGUGGUGGGGAACUUUCCUGAAUUUGUCAGUGUGAUUAUUAGUAACUCAAAUGAGGUUCAAAUGCACAAAGCCCCCCUCAAAAGUAAUUCCUCCAGGGGCGCCUGGGUGGCUCAGUUGGUUGUCCCUGACUUUGGCUCAGGUAAUGAUCUCAAGUCCUGGGAUCAAGCCCCGUAUCAGGCCCUCUGCUCAGCGGGGAGUCUGCUUGUCCCUCUCCCUCUCCACUUGCCCGUACUCAUGCUCUCUCUCACACUCUGUCUCUCAAAUAAAAUCUUAAAAAAAAAAAAAAAUUUCUUCAAAUACUCAAAGUGUAGCAAGUAUAUAAGUCAGCAUUGUUUUAACAAUAUUACUCAGUUAAUGAAUUAACACCUUUAUAAACAAAACUGCAGUACAUUUUAAAACAAAAAUACAGCACAAUAAAUUACAGUUGAUCCUUGAACAAUGUGGGUUGGGGCAUCAACCCCCCACAUAGUAAAAAAUCCAUGUGUAACUUCUGACUCCCCUGAAACAAAUACCAACAGCCUACCGUGGACCGGAGGCCUUACUGAUAAUGUAAAGAGGUGACCAGCACAUUUUGUAUGUUAUAUGCAUUAUAUACUAUAUUCUAACAAUUAGAGAAAAAAAUUAAAAUCACAUAAUGAAAACACAUUUACAGUAUUGUACUGCAGAAAAAUCUGCACUAAGAGGCCCUGUGUAGUUUCAACACAUUUUGUUCAGAGGUCAGCUGUAUUUGGUUUGCUAGGUGUCUCUAAGUAAUAAUUUUUAUGCCUAAAGGAUCCUUAACAUAUCUAGUCAUGCUGUAGUUAUUUAAAAAUCUAAACAAGAUUUUAAAGGUUUAUAUUCUUACAUACAGUGGCAUUUACAGUUAACAAAUUAUGAUUUGUUUCCAUUGAUAUCCUUUUAAAAGUUAACUUAUGGUUAAACUUUUCUAUUUCAAGUGAUCUACUUAUUUUGUAUUCAUAUUUAUAAUGUACCCUUUAUUGUUUCUAGGUAUUGAUACACUUUAAUAAAAAUAAUACAUUUACUGUUUUCCCCUAUUAA